This 468-nucleotide ribosomal RNA is filed under the name uncultured bacterium. Its description in RNAcentral is "partial 16S ribosomal RNA". It matches the Rfam family "Bacterial small subunit ribosomal RNA", at positions 28 to 507 of the family's 1533-position model. The record is from RNAcentral.
GACGAACGCUGGCGGCGUGCUUAACACAUGCAAGUCGAACGGAAAGGCCCUGCUUUUGUGGGGUGCUUGAGUGGCGAACGGGUGAGUAACACGUGAGUAACCUGCCCUUGACUUUGGGAUAACUUCAGGAAACUGGGGCUAAUACCGGAUAGGAGCUCCUGCUGCAUGGUGGGGGUUGGAAAGUUUCGGCGGUUGGGGAUGGACUCGCGGCUUAUCAGCUUGUUGGUGGGGUAGUGGCUUACCAAGGCUUUGACGGGUAGCCGGCCUGAGAGGGUGACCGGCCACAUUGGGACUGAGAUACGGCCCAGACUUCUACGGGAGGCAGCAGUGGGGAAUAUUGCACAAUGGGCGGAAGCCUGAUGCAGCAACGCCGCGUGCGGGAUGACGGCCUUCGGGUUGUAAACCGCUUUCGCCUGUGACGAAGCGUGAGUGACGGUAAUGGGUAAAGAAGCACCGGCUAACUACGUG